CUGGGAAUCUUGGGAAUGGGCGAAAGCCUGACCCAGCAACGCCGCGUGGGCGAUGAAGGCCUUCGGGUCGUAAAGCCCUUUUGCAGGGGAAGAUUAUGACGGUACCCUGCGAAUAAGCCACGGCUAACUACGUGCCAGCAGCCGCGGUAAUACGUAGGUGGCAAGCGUUGUCCGGAUUUACUGGGCGUAAAGGGCGUGCAGGCGGUUCGUUAAGUGCAGGGUGAAAGCUCCCGGCUCAACUGGGAGAGGUUUCUGCAUACUGGCGGACUCGAGGGAGGCAGAGGAAAGUGGAAUUCCCGGUGUAGUGGUGAUAUGCGUAGAUAUCGGGAGGAACACCUGUGGCGAAGGCGGCUUUCUGGGCCUUACCUGACGCUGAGACGCGAAAGCGUGGGGAGCGAACCGG
This 403-nucleotide ribosomal RNA is filed under the name uncultured bacterium. RNAcentral's name for it is "bacterial SSU rRNA". It matches the Rfam family "Bacterial small subunit ribosomal RNA", at positions 355 to 776 of the family's 1533-position model. The record is from RNAcentral.